AUUGAACGCUGGCGGCAGGCCUAACACAUGCAAGUCGAGCGAGCGGCGGACGGGUGAGUAAUGUCUGGGAAACUGCCUGAUGGAGGGGGAUAACUACUGGAAACGGUAGCUAAUACCGCAUACCAUCAGAUGUGCCCAGAUGGGAUUAGCUGGUAGGUGGGGUAACGGCUCACCUAGGCGACGAUCCCUAGCUGGUCUGAGAGUCUGGCCAGCCACUCUGGACCUGAUACACGGGCCAGACUGCUACGGGAGGCAGCAGUGGGGAAUAUUGCAGAAUGGGCGCAAGCCUGAAUGAGCCAUGCCGCGUGUGUGAAGAAGUCCUUCGGGUUGUAAAGCACUUUCAGCGCGGAGGCGUUAGCCGCAGAAGAAGCACCGCCUAACUCCGUGCCAGCAGCCGCGGAAU
RNAcentral lists this ribosomal RNA (403 nucleotides) under uncultured bacterium. Its description in RNAcentral is "partial 16S ribosomal RNA". It matches the Rfam family "Bacterial small subunit ribosomal RNA", at positions 30 to 523 of the family's 1533-position model. The record is from RNAcentral.